Ictalurus punctatus (channel catfish) is the source of this 695-nucleotide long non-coding RNA. NCBI's taxonomy places the organism in Eukaryota, Metazoa, Chordata, Actinopteri, Siluriformes, Ictaluridae. The record is from Ensembl.
AGAACACCCAGAGAGACCCAGAGAGACACAGGCAGACUCAGAGAGACUCAGAGAGACAGGAAGGCACAGAGAGACCCAGGAAGGCACAGAGAGAACAGAGAGAGACCCAGGAAGGCACAGAGAGACACAGAGACCCAGGAAGGCACAGAGAGACACAGAGACCCAGGAAGGCACAGAGAGACACAGAGAGAUCCAGGAAGGCACAGAGAGACCACAUAGAGACCCAGGAAGGCACAGAGAGACACAUAGAGACCCAGGAAGGCACAGAGAGACACAGAGAGAUCCAGGAAGGCACAGAGAGACACAGAGAGAUCCAGGAAGGCACAGGGAGACACAUAGAGACCCAGGAAGGCAUAGAGAGACACAGAGAGACCCAGGCAGGCUUUAGAGACAGACAGAGAGAUCCAGGAAGGCACAGAGAGACAAUACAGACAGAGGCAGGCACAGACACACACACAGAGACCACACACACACACACACACACACACUACAUACAUGCGGUGUCUCUCUUUCACACAGAUAGAGACAUGCAGAGACACACAGACACAUAUACACAGACACAAAGACACCCAUCUACCCACACACAUACACACCGCUCCUCAUGACGUCACUGAGGUUAGUGUAGCCACUGUAGCUGCUAAUGCACUUCACAGUAUCUCCUGAAAACUACAACUCCAGCCUUAUUUAUCCUCCUA